GACGAACGCUGGCGGCGUGCCUAAUACAUGCAAGUAGAACGCUGAAGGAGGAGCUUGCUCUUCUGGAUGAGUUGCGAACGGGUGAGUAACGCGUAGGUAACCUGCCUGGUAGCGGGGGAUAACUAUUAGAAACGAUAGCUAAUACCGCAUAACAGUAGAUGUUGCAUGACAUUUGCUUAAAAGGUGCAAUUGCACCACUACCAGAUGGACCUGCGUUGUAUUAGCUAGUUGGUGGGGUAACGGCUCACCAAGGCGACGAUACAUAGCCGACCUGAGAGGGUGAUCGGCCACACUGGGACUGAGACACGGCCCAGACUCCUACGGGAGGCAGCAGUAGGGAAUCUUCGGCAAUAGACGGAAGUCUGACCGAGCAACGCCGCGUGAGUGAAGAAGGUUUUCGGAUCGUAAAGCUCUGUUGUAAGAGAAGAACGAGUGUGAGAGUGGAAAGUUCACACUGUGACGGUAUCUUACCAGAAAGGGACGGCUAACUACGUG
Molecule: ribosomal RNA, 495 nt
Filed under: uncultured bacterium
Lineage: Bacteria
Description: partial 16S ribosomal RNA
Rfam family: Bacterial small subunit ribosomal RNA
Source: RNAcentral